CUCGCAGCUCACUGGGCCAGCAUCGGUUUUGGCGGCCGGAAAAAACCUAGGGAAUGUGGCUCUGCGCCUCGGUGUAGAGUGUUAUAGCCCUGGGGAAUACGGCCAGCCGGGACCGAGGACUGCGAUACUUGUUAUCUAGGAUGCUGGCAUAAUGGUUAUAUGCCGCCCGUCUUGAA
RNAcentral lists this ribosomal RNA (176 nucleotides) under uncultured fungus. Its description in RNAcentral is "partial 28S ribosomal RNA". The record is from RNAcentral. Lineage: Eukaryota; Fungi.